This is a non-coding RNA of Dermacentor andersoni, 405 nucleotides long. NCBI's taxonomy places the organism in Eukaryota, Metazoa, Arthropoda, Arachnida, Ixodida, Ixodidae. The record is from RefSeq and is a predicted model, not a curated record.
UGUGCAGCUACGUUGCAUUUGUAUAUUUUAAAAUCUUGGCGCAUGAUAGUUGGGACACCCUGUAUACUACGUGAUGCAAUGCAAAUACUGCGAAUACGGUAGAAAGAAAGUCUUGCGCACACUAAACGAAGAUAACAAGAAAAGGACACAAAAACGGCGGUAGUGUUUUGUCCUCUUCUUUUUGUCUUCGUUUAGUGCGCGUAAAACUUUCCACAAUCAAGUCUAACCAACUAGCCCGCCUCUCAGUCUUAUUGCCUAAUACUGUAGUAUUUGCGCAGCAUGGUACGUGGGUUGUAUAGUUGUCCCUCGAGAGUGGGUACGCAUAGUACAAAUUAAGCUGCAUUUUCAUGACGAUAAACAAUUAGUAGGUCGUUCAGAGCUAACAAAUAAACACCCUUUUGCCUU